RNAcentral lists this ribosomal RNA (434 nucleotides) under uncultured bacterium. RNAcentral describes it as "partial 16S ribosomal RNA". It matches the Rfam family "Bacterial small subunit ribosomal RNA", at positions 29 to 507 of the family's 1533-position model. The record is from RNAcentral.
AGCGAACGCUGGCGGCAGGCCUAACACAUGCAAGUCGAACGAACCUUUCGGGGUUAGUGGCGGACGGGUGAGUAACACGUGGGAACGUGCCUUUAGGUUCGGAAUAACUCAGGGAAACUUGUGCUAAUACCGAAUGUGCCCUUCGGGGGAAAGAUUUAUCGCCUUUAGAGCGGCCCGCGUCUGAUUAGCUAGUUGGUUGAGGUAAUGGCUCACCAAGGCGACGAUCAGUAGCUGGUCUGAGAGGAUGAUCAGCCACAUUGGGACUGAGACACGGCCCAAACUCCUACGGGAGGCAGCAGUGGGGAAUCUUGCGCAAUGGGCGAGGGCCUGACGCAGCCAUGCCGCGUGAAUGAUGAAGGUCUUAGGAUUGUAAAAUUCUUUCACCGGGGACGAUAAUGACGGUACCCGGAGAAGAAGCCCCGGCUAACUUCGUG